This 737-nucleotide long non-coding RNA is filed under the name Physcomitrium patens. RNAcentral's name for it is "long non-coding RNA (PPAT_LNC011480)". The record is from RNAcentral. Lineage: Eukaryota; Viridiplantae; Streptophyta; Bryopsida; Funariales; Funariaceae.
GCACCUACCUGUAGAUGGUAGAAUGGAAUAUACAACAACAAAAUCCUAAUUCUAAUAGAAUACUAACAAUGCUAAACAAGCUUUAAUCAAAUUCAGAGUAACCUCAAAGUAAUUCCAAAGAAACAAUAAGAAAUCUUAAAGAAAUAUUAAAAUGAUUACAAACAUUUCUCAAAUAUAUGUCAAUUCAAUCUAAAUUUAAUCCUUGUUGAAAUCUUAUUGGACUUCAUUCAAAAUUUAGGCCAAAAACUAACUAAAUCUUAAAUCCUAAACAAACUCAAAUAAAAUCUUAAAUCCUAAAUCAAAUCCUAAUCCUUAAAUCAAACCCUAACCAAAUCCUAAAUUCUAAAUCAAAUCUUCAGAAAACCCUAAAUCCUAAAUCAAAUCCUAAUCCUAAAUCAAAUCUCUAAAUCCUAAUCAAAUCUUAAACCUUAAAUCAAAUCCUAAAUCCUAAACCAAACCCUAAUCAAAUCCUAAAUCUUAAACCAAAUCUUAACCAAAUCCUAAUCCUAAAUCAAAUCCUAAUCUCAAAUCAAAUCCUAAUCAAAUCCUAAAUCCUAAACCAAAUUCUAAUCAAAUCCUAAAUCUUAAAAUAAAUCCUAAUCAAAUCCUAAUCCUAAAUCAAAUCCUAAUUAAUCCUAAACCAAACCCUAAAUCCUAAAUCAAAUCCUAACCAAAUCCUAAAUCCUAAACAAAAUCUUAACCAAACCCUAACUCUAAUCUCAAACCCUAAACCAAAU